AAGCGUGUGAGCCAUGUGCCGAGAAAAGCUGCUAUUGUGUAAUGCGUGCCCGUACCGUAAACCGACACAGGUGGAUGAGGAGAGAAUCCUAAGGCCGACGGAAGAAGCAUUGUUAAGGAAUUCGGCAAAAUGACCCCGUAACUUCGGGAGAAGGGGUGCCUGCGAGAGCAGGCCGCAGAGAAUAGGCUCAAGCAACUGUUUAGCAAAAACACAGGUCUAUGCGAAACCGAAAGGUGAAGUAUAUGGGCUGACGCCUGCCCGGUGCUGGAAGGUUAAGAGGAGAGGUUAGCUUCGGCGAAGCUUUGAAUUUAAGCCCCAGUAAACGGCGGCCGUAACUAUAACGGUCCUAAGGUAGCGAAAUUCCUUGUCGGGUAAGUUCCGACCCGCACGAAAGGCGUAAUGAUUUGAGCACUGUCUCGACAAUGCAUCCGGUGAAAUUGAAGUACCAGUGAAGAUGCUGGUUACCCGCGCCAGGACGGAAAGACCCCAUGGAGCUUUACUCCAGUUUGAUACUGGGAUUCGGUACUGCAUGUACAGGAUAGGUGGGAGACGAAGAAGGAUGGACGCCAGUCUGUCCGGAGUCGCUGUUGGGAUACCACCCCUGUAGUACUGGGUUUCUAACCAGUUGCCAUGAACUGGCAAUGGGACAAUGUCAGGCGGGGAGUUUGACUGGGGCGGUCGCCUCCGAAAGGGUAUCGGAGGCGCUCAAAGGUUCCCUCAGAAUGGUUGGAAACCAUUUGAAGAGUGCAAAGGCAGAAGGGAGCUUGACUGCGACACCGACGGGUGGAGCAGGUACGAAAGUAGGACUUAGUGAUCCGGUGGUAUAAAGUGGGAUUGCCAUCGCUCAACGGAUAAAAGCUACCCUGGGGAUAACAGGCUUAUCACUCCCAAGAGUUCACAUCGACGGAGUGGUUUGGCACCUCGAUGUCGGCUCAUCGCAUCCUGGGGCUGUAGCAGGUCCCAAGGGUUGGGCUGUUCGCCCAUUAAAGCGGUACGCGAGCUGGGUUCAGAACGUCGUGAGACAGUUCGGUCCCUAUCCGGCGCGGGCGGAGGAUAUUUGAGAGGAGCUGUCCUUAGUACGAGAGGACCGGGAUGGACGGACCACUGGUGUAUCUGUUGUCGACCAACGGCAUGGCAGAGUAGCCAAGUCUGGAAGGGAUAAACGCUGAAGGCAUCUAAGCGUGAAGCCCCCCUCAAGAUGAGAUAUCCCUCCUUCGGGAGUAAGACCCCUUGAAGACUACAAGGUAGAUAGGGCAGAGGUGGAAGCAUGGCAACAUGUGGAGCUGACUGUUACUAAUAGGUCGAGGGCUUAAUCUG
RNAcentral lists this ribosomal RNA (1317 nucleotides) under Agathobacter rectalis. RNAcentral's name for it is "partial 23S ribosomal RNA". It matches the Rfam family "Bacterial large subunit ribosomal RNA", at positions 1589 to 2925 of the family's 2925-position model. Lineage: Bacteria; Bacillati; Bacillota; Clostridia; Lachnospirales; Lachnospiraceae. The record is from RNAcentral.